Molecule: transfer RNA, 69 nt
Filed under: Tetrao urogallus cantabricus
Lineage: Eukaryota; Metazoa; Chordata; Aves; Galliformes; Phasianidae
Also listed under: 1 other name
Description: tRNA-Gly
Rfam family: tRNA
About the family: Transfer RNA (tRNA) molecules are approximately 80 nucleotides in length. Their secondary structure includes four short double-helical elements and three loops (D, anti-codon, and T loops). Further hydrogen bonds mediate the characteristic L-shaped molecular structure. tRNAs have two regions of fundamental functional importance: the anti-codon, which is responsible for specific mRNA codon recognition, and the 3' end, to which the tRNAs corresponding amino acid is attached (by aminoacyl-tRNA synthetases). tRNAs cope with the degeneracy of the genetic code in two manners: having more than one tRNA (with a specific anti-codon) for a particular amino acid; and 'wobble' base-pairing, i.e. permitting non-standard base-pairing at the 3rd anti-codon position.
Source: RNAcentral
GCUCUUCUAGUAUACUAAGUACAAUUGACUUCCAAUCUCUAAGAUCUGGUGCCAAUCCAGAGAAGAGCA